GCUGGGCACGGUGGCGCGUGCCUGUAGUUCCAGCUACUUGGGAGGCUGAGGCUGGAGGAUCGCUUGAGCCCAGGAGUUCUGGGCUGUGGUGUGCUAUGCCAAUCGGGUGUCUGCACUAAGUUCAGCAUCAAUAUGGUGACCUCCCAGGAGCGGGGACCACCAGGUUGCCUAAGGAUGGGUGAACCAGUCCAGGUCGGAAAUGGAGCAGGUCAAAACUCCCGUGCUGAUCAGUAGUGGGAUGGCGCCUGUGAAUAGCCACUGCACUCCAGCCUGGGCAACAUAGUGAGAUCUGGUCUCGU
This 299-nucleotide signal recognition particle RNA is filed under the name Cebus imitator (Panamanian white-faced capuchin). RNAcentral describes it as "Metazoan signal recognition particle RNA (ENSCCAG00000000397.1)". It matches the Rfam family "Metazoan signal recognition particle RNA". Rfam says of the family: The signal recognition particle (SRP) is a universally conserved ribonucleoprotein. It is involved in the co-translational targeting of proteins to membranes. The eukaryotic SRP consists of a 300-nucleotide 7S RNA and six proteins: SRPs 72, 68, 54, 19, 14, and 9. The record is from Rfam by way of RNAcentral. Lineage: Eukaryota; Metazoa; Chordata; Mammalia; Primates; Cebidae.